CUGACCACAUAUAUAUGGAGUUUAGUGGAAAAAAAAGGCAUGAAGAACCUCGGGGUAAGACAGGAAUUAGGACACAGACCUACUAGAGAAUGGACUUGAGGAUACGGGGAGGGGGAAGGGUAAGCUGGGACAAAGCGGGAGAGUGGCAUGGACAUAUAUACACUA
Aethalodelphis obliquidens (Pacific white-sided dolphin) is the source of this 165-nucleotide long non-coding RNA. RefSeq lists it as uncharacterized. The record is from RefSeq and is a predicted model, not a curated record. The transcript has 3 exons. NCBI's taxonomy places the organism in Eukaryota, Metazoa, Chordata, Mammalia, Artiodactyla, Delphinidae.